UCUUGAAAUUUAAAAGAUUUGGCGGUAUUUUAGUCUUUUUAGAGGAACAUGCCCUAUAAUUGAUAUUCCACGAUUAAUUGUACUUAAAUUAAAAGUUUAUAUAUCGUCGUAGUUGAAUACCUUAUAAGAGGAAAAGUAUUCAAUAUUUAUAAUUUAAUGAAUAAAAUCAGAUCAAGAUAUAGCUUAUAUUUAAGAAGAGGUGUGUUACAAUAAAAUUAUUUAUGGUUAUGGUUAUAAUAAUUAAAAUUAUUAUAUAAAGUGGAUUUAAAAGUAAUAUAUUUAAGUUAAAAUAUAUGAUUUCAGCGCUGAAAUAUGUACAUAUCGCCCGUCGCUUCCAAUGAAUUUUAAGUUGGAAUAAGUCGUAACAUAGUAGGCGUACCGGAAGGUGUGCCUGGUUUGGCAAAUUAAAGCUUUAUAGGAGUAUUUUAUUUACAUUAAAAGGGUAUUUGUGAAAUUCAAAUUGAUUUGAAUUUAAUUAUUUAUUUAUUAAGAUUUAAUUUAUAAUAUUUUAAAAAAAAUAUUUUUAUGUUUUUUUAUUAGUUAAGAUAAAAUUAUUAUUAUUAUAGUUUAUUAGUAUAGUGUUAGACUAUUGAAAAAAAUGAAAAUUAUAAAUUUUAAAAAGAAGAAUUUAAUUUUUGUACCUUGUGUAUCAGGGUUUAUUAAAUAAUAAUUAUUAAAAUUUAAUUUUCUCGAAUUUAAAAGAGUUAAAAAAUUAUAGAUUUUAUUGUAAAAUAAAUAUUUAAAAUAAUUUUUUAGUAAUGAAACGUUAUUCGUUUUUAAAUUUAUCUAGUUUUUUAAGAAAUAAAUUUAAUUUAGUUAUUUAUUUUAAUAUGAAUAAUUUGUUAUUUUAUAUUAAUAUAUAUAGUUAAUAUUUUAAGGGAUAAGCUUUAAAAUAAAAUUUUAAAAAUAAAUAUAAAUUUAAUAUAAAUUAGUAGGAUUAGAAUUUUUUAUUUUUAAUAGUAUGUUAUAAUAAAUUUAUAGUAAAAUUUAAUUUUUAUAUAGUUUUAAAUUAUUUAUUAAAAUUAUUUAUUUAAUAGUAUAUUAUAGGAAAUAAUGAUAAAAUUAGUAUAAAUUUAAUGUUUAAUUAAUGUAGUAGUUAAGAUUAAAUUAAGGAAUUCGGCAAAAAUUUUUUCUGCCUGUUUAUUAAAAACAUGUCUUUUUGAUUAUAAUUUAAAGUCUAACCUGCCCUAUGAAUAAUUUAAAUGGCCGCGGUAUUUUGACCGUGCAAAGGUAGCAUAAUCAUUAGUUUUUUAAUUAAGAACUGGAAUGAAUGGUUGGACAAGAAAAAUACUGUCUCAAUUUAAUUUAAAUUAGAAUUUUAUUUUUAAGUUAAAAAGCUUAAAUAUUAUUAAAAGACGAGAAGACCCUCUAGAGUUUCAUAUUAAAAAUUUUAAAGCAAUUUUAAGAAUUUAUAAUUUUA
This 1420-nucleotide ribosomal RNA is filed under the name Lepanus reidi. RNAcentral describes it as "partial large subunit ribosomal RNA". The record is from RNAcentral. Lineage: Eukaryota; Metazoa; Arthropoda; Insecta; Coleoptera; Scarabaeidae.